UAUGAACGCUGGCGGCGUGCCUAACACAUGCAAGUCGAGCGAGAAAGUCCUUCGGGAUGAGUACAGCGGCGGACGGUUGAGUAACACGUGAGAAUCUACCCUACAGUGAGGAAUACCCUCGAGAAAUCGAGGUUAAUACUGCAUACGUCCCUUCGGGGAGAAAGAUGGCCUCUUUGCUGUCGCUGUUGGAUGAGCUUGCGGACUAUCAGCUAGUUGGUGAGGUAAUGGCUCACCAAGGCUAUGACGGUUAGCCGGCCUGAGAGGGUGUACGGCCAAACUGGAACUUAGACACGGUCCAGACUCCUACGGGAGGCAGCAGUGGGGAAUAUUGCGCAAUGGGCGAAAGCCUGACGCAGCGACGCCGCGUGGAGGAUGAAGGUCUUCGGAUUGUAAACCUCUGUUAAGUGGGAAGAAAUACCUGUUUCUAAUACAAACGGGGGAUGACGGUGCCAUUAGAGAAAGCACCGGCUAACUUCGUGCCAGCAGCCGCGGUAAUAC
This 498-nucleotide ribosomal RNA is filed under the name uncultured bacterium. RNAcentral describes it as "bacterial SSU rRNA". It matches the Rfam family "Bacterial small subunit ribosomal RNA", at positions 29 to 526 of the family's 1533-position model. The record is from RNAcentral.